CCUACGGGGGGCAGCAGUGAGGAAGAUUGGUCAAUGGGCGCGAGCCUGAACCAGCCAAGUAGCGUGAAGGAUGACUGCCCUACGGGUUGUAAACUUCUGUUAUAAAGGAAUAAAGUGAGGCACGUGUGCCUUUUUGUAUGUACUUUAUGAAUAAGGAUCGGCUAACUCCGUGCCAGCAGCCGCGGUAAUACGGAGGAUCCGAGCGUUAUCCGGCUUUAGUGGGUUUAAAGGGAGCGUAGAUGGGUUGUUAAGGCAGUUGUGAAAGUUUGCGGCUCAACCGUAAAAUUGCAAUUGAUACUGGCAGUCUUUCGUACAGUUGCGGUAGGCGUCAUUCGUGGUGUAGC
RNAcentral lists this ribosomal RNA (344 nucleotides) under uncultured bacterium. RNAcentral describes it as "partial 16S ribosomal RNA". It matches the Rfam family "Bacterial small subunit ribosomal RNA", at positions 338 to 679 of the family's 1533-position model. The record is from RNAcentral.